RNAcentral lists this unclassified non-coding RNA (253 nucleotides) under uncultured Caryophanales bacterium. RNAcentral's name for it is "uncultured Bacillales bacterium contains 16S-23S intergenic spacer region". It matches the Rfam family "Bacterial small subunit ribosomal RNA", at positions 524 to 776 of the family's 1533-position model. Lineage: Bacteria; Bacillati; Bacillota; Bacilli; Caryophanales. The record is from RNAcentral.
UACGUAGGGGGCAAGCGUUGUCCGGAAUGAUUGGGCGUAAAGCGCGCGCAGGCGGCUUCUUAAGUCUGAUGUGAAAGCCCACGGCUCAACCGUGGAGGGUCAUUGGAAACUGGGGAGCUUGAGUACAGGAGAGGAGAGUGGAAUUCCACGUGUAGCGGUGAAAUGCGUAGAGAUGUGGAGGAACACCGGUGGCGAAGGCGGCUCUCUGGCCUGAGACUGACGCUGAGGCGCGAAAGCGUGGGGAGCGAACAGG